This is a long non-coding RNA of Cebus imitator (Panamanian white-faced capuchin), 135 nucleotides long. RefSeq lists it as uncharacterized. The transcript is spliced from 3 exons. NCBI's taxonomy places the organism in Eukaryota, Metazoa, Chordata, Mammalia, Primates, Cebidae. The record is from RefSeq and is a predicted model, not a curated record.
CUUGGAUCUCCCUGAGGUCACCAUAUUGAUGUCAAACUUAGUGCGGACAUCCGACUGGCAUAGCACACUACAGCCCAGAACUCCUGGACUCAAGCGAUCCUCCAGCCUCAGCCUCCCAAGUAGCUGGGACUACAA